UCAGUAACACGUGGCUAACCUACCNUUAGGACCGGAACAACCCCGGGAAACUGGGACUAAUUCCGGAUAAGUGAGGAGGCCUGGAAUGGUUUCUCACUAAAAGGGCGUUAGGAGCAUGCUUCCUUUCGUUGCNUAAGGAUGGGGCCGCGGCCGAUCAGGUUGUUGGUGAGGUAAAGGCUCACCAAGCCUAUAACCGGUACGGGCCAUGAGAGUGGGAGCCCGGAGAUGGGCACUGAGACAAGGGCCCAGGCCCUACGGGGCGCAGCAGUUGCGAAAACUCCGCAAUGCGCGAAAGCGUGACGGGGUUAACCCGAGUGCUGUCCGCUGAGGAUAGCUUUUUUCUGGUGUAAUGAGUCAGACGAAUAAGGGGAGGGCAAGACUGGUGUCAGCCGCCGCGGUAAUACCAGCUCCCCGAGUGGUAGGGACGAUUAUUGGGCUUAAAGCGUCCGUAGCUGGCUUGACAAGUCUUUCGUUAAAUCCAGCGACUUAAUCGCUGGGCUGCGGGAGAUACUGUCUGGCUAGGGGGCGGAAGAGGUCGACGGUACUCUCGGGGUAGGGGUGAAAUCCUAUAAUCCUGAGAAGACCACCAGUGGCGAAGGCGGUCGACUAGAACGCGCUCGACGGUGAUGGACGAAAGCUGGGGUAGCAAACCGGAUUAGAUACCCGGGUAGUCCCAGCUGUAAACGAUGCGGGCUAGGUGUCGGAGUGGAUACGAGCCGCUUCGGUGCCGCAGGGAAACUGUUAAGCCCGCCGCCUGGGAAGUACGGUCGCAAGGCUGAAACUUAA
This 786-nucleotide ribosomal RNA is filed under the name uncultured archaeon. RNAcentral's name for it is "bacterial SSU rRNA". It matches the Rfam family "Archaeal small subunit ribosomal RNA", at positions 90 to 859 of the family's 1478-position model. The record is from RNAcentral.